RNAcentral lists this ribosomal RNA (496 nucleotides) under uncultured bacterium. RNAcentral's name for it is "partial 16S ribosomal RNA". It matches the Rfam family "Bacterial small subunit ribosomal RNA", at positions 28 to 507 of the family's 1533-position model. The record is from RNAcentral.
GAUGAACGCUGCGGCGUGCCUAAUACAUGCAAGUCGCGCGAACAGACGAGGAGCUUGCUCCUCUGACGUUAGCGGCGGACGGGUGAGUAACACGUGGAUAACCUACCUAUAAGACUGGGAUAACUUCGGGAAACCGGAGCUAAUACCGGAUAAUAUAUUGAACCGCAUGGUUCAAUAGUGAAAGACGGUUUUGCUGUCACUUAUAGAUGGAUCCGCGCCGCAUUAGCUAGUUGGUAAGGUAACGGCUUACCAAGGCGACGAUGCGUAGCCGACCUGAGAGGGUGAUCGGCCACACUGGAACUGAGACACGGUCCAGACUCCUACGGGAGGCAGCAGUAGGGAAUCUUCCGCAAUGGGCGAAAGCCUGACGGAGCAACGCCGCGUGAGUGAUGAAGGUCUUCGGAUCGUAAAACUCUGUUAUUAGGGAAGAACAAAUGUGUAAGUAACUAUGCACGUCUUGACGGUACCUAAUCAGAAAGCCACGGCUAACUACGUG